Felis catus (domestic cat) is the source of this 3930-nucleotide RNA transcript. It is a transcript of the gene named leucine rich repeat and sterile alpha motif containing 1, with no coding region annotated. The transcript is spliced from 25 exons. Lineage: Eukaryota; Metazoa; Chordata; Mammalia; Carnivora; Felidae. The record is from RefSeq and is a predicted model, not a curated record.
AAGCACGACUCUCGCGAGAACCGCUAAGCUCCGCCCAGCCUCCCAGCGACGUCCUUGCCGCCAUGUUGCUUAUGGGCAGUUUCCUGAAGCUGAGCUGACGGGCUGGAGAAUCCUACUCCGCGCUCCUGCGUUUGGAGGAUACCAGACUCCCGCUCCGCCCGGACCCGGUGCCCAGUGCUCUUGAGACCCGACGUCCAUGACCAAGCCUUACGAGUGACCUGCCCACCUUCAGGUCCACCCGAGGGAACGAGCACUGGGGACUUGUGCACCCACAAAGCCAGAGUCGUGAAGAUUACUCCGGGGGGAAAGGAAGAAUGCCUCUCUUCUUCCGGAAGCGGAAACCCAGUGAAGAGGCUCGGAAACGCCUGGAGUAUCAGAUGUGCCUGGCAAAAGAAGCUGGGGCAGAUGACAUUCUUGACAUCUCUAAAUGUGAGCUCUCAGAGAUUCCAUUUGGGGCUUUUGCAACAUGCAAAGUUCUACAGAAAAAGGUGUUGAUUGUCCACACGAAUCACCUCACUUACCUGCUCCCUAAAUCUUGCAGCCUCCUGAGUCUCGCAACCAUCAAGGUUCUGGAUCUUCACGAUAAUCAGCUGUCCGCUCUUCCCGACGAUAUAGGGCAGCUGACCGCCCUCCAGGUAUUGAACGUGGAAAGGAAUCAACUGACAUAUCUGCCACGUUCCAUUGGGAACCUGAUCCAGCUCCAGACCCUCAACGUGAAAGAUAACAAGCUGAGGGAGCUUCCCGACACCGUGGGGGAACUUCGAAGCCUUCGUACCCUUGACAUCAGUGAGAACGAGAUUCAGAGGCUGCCACAGCUGCUGGCGCACGUUCGAACCCUGGAAACUCUGAGCCUCGACGCCUCGUCCAUGGUUUACCCCCCACAGGAGGUGUGCAGUGCUGGGACCCAGGCCAUUCAGCAGUUCCUCUGCAAAGAGUCAGGGCUGGAAUACUACCCUCCUUCUCAGUACUUGCUGCCAGUCCUGGAGCAAGAUGGGGCUGACGCUUCCUGGGACAGCCCCGACGGCCCCACAGACAGAUUCUCCAGGGAGGAGGCAGAAUGGCAGAAUAGGUUCUCAGACUAUGAGAAGAGGAAGGAACAGAAGAUGCUGGAGAAACUCGAGUUUGAACGGCGCCUGGAACUCGGGCAGCGAGAACAUGCCCAGCUCCUUCAGCAGAGCAGCAGUCAGAAGGACGAGAUCCUUCAGACGGUCAAGGAGGAGCAGUCCCGGCUGGAGCAGGGCCUAAGUGAGCAUCAGCGCUACCUGGAUGCAGAGCGUCAGCGGCUGCAGGAGCAGCUGAAGCAAACGGAGCAGAACAUCGCCAACCGGAUCCAGAAACUCCUGCAGGACAAUCAGAGGCAGAAGAAAAGUUCUGAGAUCUUGAAGUCGCUGGAAAAUGAAAGGAUAAGGAUGGAACAGUUGAUGUCCAUCACUCAGGAGGAGACCGAGAACCUGCGGAGGCGUGAGAUUGCCUCCGCCAUGCAGCAGAUGCUGACCGAGAGCUGUACAAACCGGCUCAUCCAGGUGGCCUACGAGUCCCAGAGGCAGAACUUGGUCCAGCAGGCCUGUUCCAGCAUGGCCGAAAUGGAUGAGCGAUUCCAGCAGAUACUGUCAUGGCAGCAGAUGGAUCAGAACAAAGCCAUCAGCCAGAUCCUGCAGGAGAGUGCCAUGCAGAAGGCUGCGUUUGAGGCUCUGCAGGUGAAGAAGGACCUCAUGCACCGGCAGAUCAGGAAGCAGAUUAAGUUAAUAGAAACUGAGUUAUUGCAGCUGACACAGCUGGAGGUAAAGAGGAAGUCCCUGGACACAGAGGCAUUGCAGGAGAUGAUCUCAGAGCAGCGCUGGGCCCUGAGCUCCCUGCUCCAGCAGCUGCUCAAGGAGAAGACGCAGCGGGAGGAAGAGCUCCGGGAAAUCCUGACAGAGUUAGAAGCCAAAAGUGAAACCAGGCAGGAAAAUUACUGGCUGAUUCAGUAUCAACGGCUGUUGAACCAGAAACCCUUGUCCUUGAAGCUGCAGGAAGAAGGCAUGGAACGCCAGCUGGCGGCCCUCCUGGUGGAUCUGUCGGCUGAACACUACCUGCCCAUCUUUGCCCACCACCGCAUCUCCCUGGACACGCUGAGCCGGAUGAGCCCUGGGGACCUGGCCAAGGUGGGCGUCUCGGAGGCCGGCCUGCAGCACGAGAUCCUGCGGAGAGUCCGGGAGCUGUUGGGUGCGGCCAGGAUCCAGCCAGGUACCAACGCCAGGACACCUCCUGAGCAGAGGCCCCCACCUUACUUGUGGACUGUGGCUCGGGGCGUCCCCGGUUGACAUUUCAGGACGAGAACUGAGGGCCGGUCCUAGCCCCUGCCAGUCCUUAAGAUUCCCUCCCAAGGGAACAGGAUUUACAAACGGGAAAAACGGGCCACAGAAAUGGGGGAACAAAGAAGCUUCCUUGCAGAAGAGGCCCUCCUGGUUCCCUGUCCUAGAACCUUCCCUAAAGCUACUCUACAAACACAGGGAACCACACACCCAGAUCCUUGCAGUAGAGGGAGAAACCAGCCCUAGCCAGUGCCUGACACUGUGCCUCGGGCAGGCCUGUGGUUGGACGUGGAACAAGGUUCGUGGUGACCUGUGAAAGGGGUAAAGGCAGGUCAUGAAGCCACUCCAGCUGCGCCUGGAGGCCCGGGUGAGGUAGGUGUUGUGGCUGCUGUAGGAGUAGAUGGGCGUCGGGGAUCUCCUGUGUCCGAGCACAAUCCGGGUACGAGGCGUUUGUCAACCACUUUACAGGUACCGUGUCAUGGCACCUCUGGCAGGUGGGUGCCGCUGUUCCUUUCAUUUGAGAGAUGAGGGAACUGAGGCGGAGAGGGGCUAAUGUGGCUGCCGUAACCUCACACAGCUGGCGAGUGUAUGUAAACCUCAGUACAGCUGAGCUUGACUGCCUCCCUCGAGAAGAGGCCGAGGGGCCUUGGCAAGGGAAGCGGGCCUGCCCAAGGAUGAAGGCAGGGGGCGAGCCCGUGGCACUGCCAGCCUCAGACAGGGUCUGUUCAGGGGAGAGACUAAAGGUGGGGUGGCCAGACCAGAUGCAGGGGCGAGGCAGGAGCUCUGCUGCCGGCAGGGAGGAGGCCCUGGGUCCCCAGGUGUCUGGGCCAGUGGCAGCGCCAUGAUGUCCUCGGGCUCCAGCUCUCUAGCCAGUUUUAUUCCAGAGACACUGACCCAACCUAACCAAGUCCCUAAACUCACAGUCCUUUCAUUAGACACCUUCCUCCCCUUGCAGAUGUUUUCCAACCCUGAUCCCUCCUGCUGUCAGACUGGAGGUCAGGUUAAGUUUGACAUCAGGAAUUGGGGUCUCCUCAUCCCCCCCCACCAACAAAGAUUCCCUUCACUCUGAGCCCCUCCCCCUCCUGACACCUGCCUCCCACAGUCCCCCACCAUCCCCAGGGCGGCUUCCUGACUGUGUCCACCUGCAGGGAAGGCUGGGUGGGAUGGUUUCCUCUCAGCAGCAGAAGGGGCAGGAGACCUUCAGCCAUUUUCCUGACAUUUUCUUACUGCUCCCAGAACUUGGUAGGUGUCCCAUUACAUAUAGAAGAGCCCCUUGACGGUGAUGGUUUGGGGGCGCCAUGGUACCUACCUUUAGAGAGCCUAGUGUUGUAACAGCCUUAAAAAAUAUAUAUUCAGAUGUUUCCAAUUAUAAAAACUUCUCCUUCAAACCAUAGGGUAGAUGGAAAAAUGUGAGCCGUGAUCAGGAUGGGCGUCAGGGCUGCCGAAGACUCGGGGAUGGGGGUGUACUUUGCAUGAUAUGAAAGAGACUGCAUUUUAGCCACUGAACCCACCCAAGGGUGAGGUCCCUGGGGCCAUGGAGGUGCCCACUGCCCCCGAGGAGCUGCCUGAGUCCGUGAGCCCGUCUGCUCCCCCGGCAGAGCUGGAGGUGCAGACUUCAGAGUGCGUCGUGUGCCUG